UCUUUUCUCUUUGGUGAGCCAGGAAGAGGAGAAUUCUGCUGAAGAAAAAGCAAGUCUGAAGUUUUCUCAGCUGCUAGCAGUGAUGUCAAAUACACAGGAGAUAGUACAAGGAUGUUUUUGUGUAAUAAGGAGCACUGAAGAACUGCCAAAGCUUUCCAAGGAAAGGCAGCAAUUUGACAGACGCAUGGGAAUUCGGGAUUCUCACUCUUCUUUUUUAGUUUGCCGCCAGCACACCAAGAUGAUUGACAGCCUGGAUACGAUCGAAGACCUGUCUUACCCGGGCCAGUCUGACUGUUUUCCCCACUACUGUAGAAGGCCACCAUAUACCUGUUGUUGCUGUGACCAAUGCGGAAGGCUGGUUUGGCAUGGUUGCUGUUGGUCCAUACCCCGCUGGUGGUGCUCUAAGGGCAGCUCUGGAAGUAGCUGUCCAUGCUAAAUCCAUCUCAAAUAUCCAUGGCACUUGGAGCAACGUGGACAUGAGAAGCAAGAUACAGAUUCAUGGCUGACCCAAGGGACGUGGCUUGGAGCUGUGCUAAGCACUCAGUACCUCUAAUGUGAGGGCUUCACAUUGCUAGAAGCCUCCCUCCCCCAUACAUGUGGCCCUUUGAAAAUCCUUGGGAGUAUUUGCGGUCUCCUCUGUAUCCCUUGUGUGUCGGUAUACUCAAUUUCUUCCAUGCAUUAAAAUUACUG
This is a long non-coding RNA of Alligator sinensis (Chinese alligator), 690 nucleotides long. RefSeq lists it as uncharacterized. Lineage: Eukaryota; Metazoa; Chordata; Crocodylia; Alligatoridae. The record is from RefSeq and is a predicted model, not a curated record. The transcript has 4 exons.